Molecule: long non-coding RNA, 589 nt
Filed under: Pomacea canaliculata
Lineage: Eukaryota; Metazoa; Mollusca; Gastropoda; Architaenioglossa; Ampullariidae
Description: uncharacterized LOC112571815, transcript variant X2
Source: RNAcentral
ACAAACUUAUUGUCCGUCUACCCUUGGUAAAUCGAGAUGACCACGAUAAUGAACCCACUUCAGUUUGUCGAUAAAGUGAAACACGUUUCGCAUACAGAGUAUUAUGAUGGCAUCCGAUUUAUUUUGUUAACAACAGUCAUUUCGGACUAAAGAGAUUUCUAAUUGUUUGACACACUCCGCUUACUUUUUAACAGUUUCCUGUUCGUCACACCGACCAAAGUGUUCUUGACUAAGGGCACUGGAUAAGACAAGAGUGGGGGGCUCUACUGAUGGCUCUACCUAAUGCUGCACGUGACUACGACUGUCAACUGACACCAACAACAUGUGGCUAGGAAGGACAGCGACUUUGUCCACCAAGACAUCAACGAUCACCUGACACGGAUUAUGGCGGCCAGUGACCACGCCGAGUAAAGCAACAGAGGCUACCAGGAUUACUUACAGGUUUCCCUGUCGUUACUCUACCAACUAUUUCUCGACUAAUGAGACUGGAUUAACAGACUGGCAUGACCACCACUGCCAUCAACGUGGUCAGCUGAUGUUGCUCGGUGACUACGACGAUCACACCAUCGACCUCAACAACAGCUGGCUU